AGUGAACGCUGGCGGCGUGCUUUACACAUGCAAGACGAACGAGAACGGAAUAUAGCUUGCUAUAUUUGUCAGCUAAGUGGCGCACGGUUGAGUAAUGUAUAGAUAACCUGCCCUUAAGAAAGGAAUAACAGUUGGAGACGACUGCUAAUGCCCUAUAUGCCUUUAAUACAUAAGUAUGCAAGGGAAACGCUUUAGUGCUUAAGGAUGGGUCUGUAUGGUAUCAUCUUGUUGAUGAGGUAACGGCUCACCAAGGCUAUGAAGACUCACUGGUUUGCGAGGAUGAUCAGUCACACGGGCACUACGCGACGGUCCAGACUCCUACGGGAUGCGGCAGUGGGGAAUAUUGCACAAUGUACGAAAGUCUGAUGCAGCAACGCCGCGUGGAGGAUGACACAUUUCGGUGCGUAAACUCCUUUUUUAUAGUAAGAUAAUGACGGUACUAUAUGAAUAAGCACCGGCUAACUGCGUGCCAGCCGCCGCAGUAA
RNAcentral lists this ribosomal RNA (485 nucleotides) under uncultured bacterium. Its description in RNAcentral is "partial 16S ribosomal RNA". It matches the Rfam family "Bacterial small subunit ribosomal RNA", at positions 29 to 523 of the family's 1533-position model. The record is from RNAcentral.